Molecule: long non-coding RNA, 763 nt
Organism: Mytilus californianus (California mussel)
Lineage: Eukaryota; Metazoa; Mollusca; Bivalvia; Mytilida; Mytilidae
Exons: 2
Source: RefSeq, a predicted model, not a curated record
CAAACUCCAUUUAUUUAUUUAUAUAUAUCUAUUUCACUUAGGACUAUAUUUUAUGUUAGGGCUUAUUUUCGUUAACACCGGACUAUAUAGUCAAGCAGACCUUUCAUGUGUAUCACGUGAUUAGGCACCUAUUGAAAUUUCACAGGGGUUUUUAGGCCCGGUUUUGGUGUGCGUACAGCACGUAGUAAAUACCGUCAACUGGUCGGUGAUAUAUGGUGUCGGAGAUACAAAGGGUAUUAUUAGUAAUAUGGUUACAACUCGAUGUUUGCUGAUAUCAAUUACAACGCCUGGAGUCGGUGAAAAUAUCCGUUAUAAAUAUACAAAGAAGUCCGUUUAAAUAUAUGUUAAACGAAUCGAGCAGUCCGUGCAGUAUUAUGCAGUUUCAAGUCGUCAUUGCUCAUUGAAGUUAUCAUUGCAGUAAAAGUAUAAAAUCUAGUGUUCUUUUCAUCAAUUUAGAAUCAACCAAAAAUGUGUGAAAAUAGUUAUUUUCUGUCCGUUUUAUAUUAAAAGAAAUUCAAGGAGAACAACCCAAAGUUAUUCUACAGUACGUGCAACGUUCAACCUUUACCGGGAAGUGUGCAGAGUGGAUGGAGGUGUGCGGACUGUAAUUGUUUAAUUUCAUUUUGUUUAUUUCAUAACAUUAUAUUUAGUUCUGUUUUGUGUGUGUUUAUUUAGUUACAUUUGCAUGUAUUCAUUUCAUUAUUUCAUUUAUGUUGAAUUUACUUUACUUUUGUUUUGUUUAUUAAAUUUAUAUUUAAAUUUA